GCAGGCAGAACUCAGGUGGCUGGCAGAGAUCACCCACGUGGUGGUAGGGCUCGGGUGGCUUUGGGUGGAAAGAUUUAUCGUACCAGAGGGUUUUAAUAUUAAAGGCAUGGUCUUGAGGACUCUAGACUCUAGACUAGGACAGGAAAGCUAUAAUCUACAAACUGCAUAUGAGACUCUGCUUCUUUGUAAAUAAAGUUUUACUGGAAGAAAGUAAUGCCCAUUCACUCUUAUACUGUGCCUUGAUGCUUUUGCACUACAUAACGAUCAUACAUAGCCAUGAAGCUGAAGUGAUUACUAUCUGAUCCUUUAAUGAAAGUGUUUGUCAAUCCUUAUGCUGCAUUAUGUGUGUUUUCAUGGAUUUUGGAGUGUUUUAUUUGAACUAGGCAAAAUUGUCUACCCUUUAGCUUUACUUUCUCAAAAGGCAAUUAUGCUUCAUUACAAGAACAAGAAUUUUUGGGAAAAUACAAAUUUGAUUCAAAUAGGGAUCAAGCUCCUCUGUAUUAGGCAAUCAAGUGGCCAAAGAUUGAUUAAUCAUAGCUACAUGUGACAUGACACAGUAUGAGGUCCAUAAGCAAGUUUAAUUAUUUCAUGACCACUAAGGAGCCAGUACUGCUAUGCUUGUAAUUUGCUGUCUUCAUGGUGUAGAAGUUACUUCUCAUAGUAUCAGGAAGGUUGCAAUAAUUACAGAUGUUAAUGUAAACAAACAGAUAGAUAUGUAGCAAUAGAGUAUGCUGGUUAUUUCUCUCUUUAGCCUCUUGAUUGGGGAUGAAAAAAAUCUUGUAGUUCAUAGCUUCUAACUCCUGACAUUUCAUUGGCUAGAUUGUCCUGGGUUCAUACCAGUGUCUGGUAAGGAGUAUGGAUUUACUGUGUUUGAUUUAGAAUGACACUACUACUUGAUCUCUAGAAUUCAUAGCUGUGAAGACUGAGUGCCUAAUAGAAGUCAGUGUUCUGCCCUGAAGAGCAGCCAGGAAAGACAAGGUGUUCAUCAAGGGACAAGAUCCCCAUAUAAUAGAAAUGAUUUCAUGUCUGUUUUAAGAUACACAGGGAAUACAUAUGAAACAUGGCAGUCAGAAGACUCAGAACUGGGGUGAAUCUGCCUCCCAGGAUGUGGGUUGUUGAUGGUAGGAUAUGGUUGAUGACAUGGCUGUUGUUUUAUUCUAUUGCUCUUACAGUGGGUUGAGUAAUUCAUUCCCACAUGUUGAUAAAUGCUCUCAAGGCAACAUGUACAAUACAUUUGUCCUCUCUUGUGAGUCAUCUUCCCAAACAGCUGUCCACUGAGAUCGAAGAAACCACAAUUGUUUGAGCAUGAACUUGUUUCAAUUGAGUUUUGCAAGUAAGGGCUUGAUUCUGUGUUAGGCUUACCUGGGUUUCCAAACAGGUUCCUCCAAAAGCAUCCCUAGUUAUUUGCCUUCUUUACCUUCUAGCUAGAAACCACCACUUCUCUGAUAGUCUCCUUCAGGGCCUAUUAUUUUGCUUUGCAAAGGAUGCCUCAUUGAGAAAAAUUAUAUUUGUUUCUUUAAUCUUGUAUGUAUGUCUUUUAUAUGUAAAGGGCCUAGUGCCUGGCCCUUGAUGGGGUUUAAAGCCUAGUUCUCAAGAGGCUGUUCCAGUUUUUGGGUUAAUGGCAGUUUUUUUGUGACAUCUGUGAAAUUCCUGUAGAAAGAAACACCCAAGGUCUGGAGAGUGCAACUGGGUAAGGACCAGAGAGGGUGGACUGAAUCUAGCCAUACUAGAUAAACUUAACUACUACCCAAGCUUCGGAUUUACUUUUCUGUUUAGCAGCAAUUUUUAUUAUGAUUGGGAAGUGAUUGACAUCCUGUAUUUCGUGAAAAAAAAAAGAAAAAACCUAGUUCAGGCCAGGUCAUUUCGGUUUCAAGACAGCCACUUGAGUAGGAUUGACUAUUGCAAAGCAUAGAACUUAGCUUUGACUCUCUGAGGAACUGUAUGAUUCUGAGUCUACGAAACUACAUGACUCCUUUCCUGACUGUAGCCAGCAUCAUAUCCUUUUAUUCUUUCUGCUGUGAGAACACCUUCCAUGUGUUUAAGUGUGAUAGCACACUAGGGAACAAAUGAAUAAGAUAUUUAUUGAUGCAACUUGUAUGAACUCAGUGUAUAGGCCCAGUCCUCAUCCUUAGGAUCUAGUCUUGUGAGGCUAACUGACCUCCAAGAAAGCAGCAGAAACAAUAAGAGGAGACUUAAAGGAUACAGAAGUGUUCUCUAUGGGAAGACAGGACCCUAAAUGCCAGAUUGGGCUUAGAGUGUGUGACUUUGAGCCACUUAGUAAGCAUCUAUGAGUCUCACUAUGCUUAUGUGUAAAGUAGGGAUACCAUUUAGAGUACUUAGCAUGGAAUUACAGGGAGUGCAGAGGGAAGCAAUGGCUCUAGUGUAAUAUUUGAUGCAUGUGAGUCUUAAGUAAGUAUUACCUAUUGCUAUCUACCACAAAAAGGGUAAGCCUUGUUAGGGAACAGCAUUAGGCUUCUGCAUAGAUGUGGCAAACAAAUGCUAUUACUGUGUUCUGAUUCUGUGAUUUGGGGCUUCUUACAUAACUUCCCCAUGCUUCACAAUUCUAAUGUAUAAAAUUGAGGUAAUGACCAUCACACAGAGCUAGCAUAAUGGUCAAAUGGUAUAAAAAGCAAAGCCCUUGGCAUGACAGCCACACACCAGCUCAAUAAUAUCAACUACAGUAGUCUAACUACUGCAACUACUAACACAACAAGACAAUAAUCUAUGGAAUCAGAAAGCACUUUAUAAGCAUGUGUCAUUUGUUGCCAUGGGCAGGGUCAAAGCUGUUAGUUGUUGUCACUGUGUCAACAACCCAGCACCUGGUUUCUUGGUAGUGGAUCUGCGGCACCUUAUUUGUGUAGUUUGUACAGAACAUUAAACUACGGAAAAUUUGAAAGCUGCUGUCUCUUUGUUUCCAUUGGCCAGUGCAGAGUGUGACACACCCUGGCUCUUAAAUGACCAAGCUUUCCUGGAUGUUUUCCUCUUACAUUAAAGAAAAGACUACAAAUACCCUGGAUGGAGAAUGUACUUCACAGCUAGUCUGAUGCUCCAUGUCAUAAUCCUCAAUGAUACUCUAAUUUUACACAGACCCCUCUGUGCAUAAGAAUGAGUUGUAGGGUACAAAUGACCAAGAAGUGGAUGACAUGGAAGUCUGAUCUGCUGUGUUGUUAAGACCUCAGGGCUUGUUAGACUGGUACUUGUAUUGACACUAUUCCUGACUACCCAGUAAUGAAAUAACAAUCUCCCUUUCUAAACAGGGGAGCAUGCUUUAUCCACUCUGAUAUUAAACAUUCAGCAGAAUUGAUCCCACCCUAGCUGCUUACUAGAAAGUAUACCUGGCCAGCCAGAGAGUUGCUUUCAGUAGUCCAAGGGACUGUAUGUCAGACUUGGGACUUAGGUCCUUUGUGUUUUAUUUUAGAAGACCACUGACAUGCAGAAAGCACCAGGGCACUUUCUGAGAAUGAGACAGACUCAGUGGGAGGCAGAGGAGAGAGACGUGAUAAGAAUCUGAAUACACUCAAAGAUAGUAUUGAAGACACUCAGAAACAAUGUCUGCCUUAAUACUUCACACACAUUAGAUGCUAAAUCAACAGUAAAUGUCAACACCAUAAAAUAUGAGCAGAAGGAAAAUUAAUAGCAUUCAGUGUGCUGUACACAUGAAGUUGACUACAAGGAACUUGAGG
Molecule: non-coding RNA, 3683 nt
Organism: Cricetulus griseus (Chinese hamster)
Lineage: Eukaryota; Metazoa; Chordata; Mammalia; Rodentia; Cricetidae
Source: RefSeq, a predicted model, not a curated record